UGUUUGAUGUUCUAACGUGGACCCGUGAUCCGGGUUGCGGACAGUGUCUGGUGGGUAGUUUGACUGGGGCGGUCUCCUCCUAAAGAGUAACGGAGGAGCACGAAGGUUGGCUAAUCCUGGUCGGACAUCAGGAGGUUAGUGCAAUGGCAUAAGCCAGCUUGACUGCGAGCGUGACGGCGCGAGCAGGUGCGAAAGCAGGUCAUAGUGAUCCGGUGGUUCUGAAUGGAAGGGCCAUCGCUCAACGGAUAAAAGGUACUCCGGGGAUAACAGGCUGAUACCGCCCAAGAGUUCAUAUCGACGGCGGUGUUUGGCACCUCGAUGUCGGCUCAUCACAUCCUGGGGCUGAAGUAGGUCCCAAGGGUAUGGCUGUUCGCCAUUUAAAGUGGUACGCGAGCUGGGUUUAGAACGUCGUGAGACAGUUCGGUCCCUAUCUGCCGUGGGCGCUGGAGAACUGAGGGGGGCUGCUCCUAGUACGAGAGGACCGGAGUGGACGCAUCACUGGUGUUCGGGUUGUCAUGCCAAUGGCACUGCCCGGUAGCUAAAUGCGGAAGAGAUAAGUGCUGAAAGCAUCUAAGC
Molecule: ribosomal RNA, 576 nt
Filed under: Shigella sonnei
Lineage: Bacteria; Pseudomonadati; Pseudomonadota; Gammaproteobacteria; Enterobacterales; Enterobacteriaceae
Also listed under: 1 other name
Description: partial 23S ribosomal RNA
Rfam family: Bacterial large subunit ribosomal RNA
Source: RNAcentral